RNAcentral lists this signal recognition particle RNA (279 nucleotides) under Saimiri boliviensis boliviensis (Bolivian squirrel monkey). RNAcentral describes it as "Metazoan signal recognition particle RNA (ENSSBOG00000009325.1)". It matches the Rfam family "Metazoan signal recognition particle RNA". From Rfam's summary of the family: The signal recognition particle (SRP) is a universally conserved ribonucleoprotein. It is involved in the co-translational targeting of proteins to membranes. The record is from RNAcentral. Lineage: Eukaryota; Metazoa; Chordata; Mammalia; Primates; Cebidae.
CCUUACAGGUGUAUCACUACACCUGUAAUCCCAGAUACUCGAAAGGCUGAGGUGGGAGGAUCACUUGAGGUGGUCCACAGUGUGCUACGCCUAUUGGGUGAUACCACUAAUUGGGUGUUCGGCAUCAAUGGAGUGACCUCCCAGGAGUGGGAGACUACCAGGCUGCCUAAGGAGGGGUGAACUGAGCAGGUCAAAACUCCUGUGAUGACCAGUAGUGGGAUGCAGCCUGUGAACAGCCACUGUACUCUGGCCUGGGCACCACAGCAAGAUCCUAUCUCU